CUGCAGUCGAGCGGCAGCGGGAAGUAGCUUGCUACUUUUGCCGGCGAGCGGCGGACGGGUGAGUAAUGCCUGGGAAAUUGCCCAGUCGAGGGGGAUAACGGUUGGAAACGACUGCUAAUACCGCAUACGCCCUACGGGGGAAAGCGGGGGACCUUCGGGCCUUGCGCGAUUGGAUAUGCCCAGGUGGGAUUAGCUAGUUGGUGAGGUAAUGGCUCACCAAGGCGACGAUCCCUAGCUGGUCUGAGAGGAUGAUCACCCACACUGGAACUGACACACGGUCCACACUCCUACGGGAGGCAGCAGUGGGGAAUAUUGCACAGUGGGGGAAACCCUGAUGCACCCAUGCCGCGUGUGUGAAGAAGGCCUUCGGGUUGUAAAGCACUUUCAGCGAGGAGGAAAGGUUGAUGCCUAAUACGUAUCAACUGUGACGUUACUCACAAAAGAAGCACCGGCUAACUCCGUGCCAGCACCCGCGGUAAUACGGAGGGUGCAAGCGUUAAUCGGAAUUACUGGGCGUAAAGCGCACGCAGGCGGUUGGAUAAGUUAUAUGUGAAAGCCCCGGGCUCAACCUGGGAAUUGCAUUUAAAACUGUCCAGCUAGAGUCUUGUAGAGGGGGGUAGAAUUCCGUGUGUAGCGGUGAUAUGCAUAGAGAUCUGGAAGAAUACCGGUGGCGAAGGCGGCCCCCUGGACAAAGACUGACGCUCAUGUGCGAAAGCGUGGGGAGCAAACAAGAUUAUAUACCCUGGUAGUCCACGCCGUAAACGAUGUCUAUUUGGAGGCUGUGUCCUUGAGACGUGGCUUCCGGAGCUAACGCGUUAAAUCGACCGCCUGGAGAGUACGGGCGCAAGGAUAACACUCAAAUGAAUUGACGGGGGCCCGCACAAGCGGUGGAGCAUGUGGUUAAUUCGAUGCAACGCAGAAGACCUACCUGCUCUUGACAUGUAUGGAUCCUGCAGAGAUGCUGGAGUGCCGUCGGAAAUCAAACACAUGUGCUGCAUGUCUGUCGUCAUCUCGUG
This 1016-nucleotide ribosomal RNA is filed under the name Aeromonas sobria. RNAcentral describes it as "bacterial SSU rRNA". It matches the Rfam family "Bacterial small subunit ribosomal RNA", at positions 55 to 1064 of the family's 1533-position model. Lineage: Bacteria; Pseudomonadati; Pseudomonadota; Gammaproteobacteria; Aeromonadales; Aeromonadaceae. The record is from RNAcentral.